GCAAAGUGGAACCUUCUCUGAGGGUGGGAGGACAGCAUUUGGAAGAUGGUUCCAAACCUGCCGAGUUUCGCCAGCAAUUUUGUCUUGCAUCUAUUGCUGAUGGCAGUCCAAGGAUAAUGGCAAAGAUGGAUGUACAGACAUGAGCCAGUCCUGCCUGCUAGGAGACCGAAUGAAUAACAAACCAUUGGAAUGAAACACUCACUUUUGAAGUUAUUUUGUCCCAGAAACUACCACCUAAUGUUUGGAUUUAUUGGGUCAAUUCAGCUGGAUUUAUUUUCAGCCUUCCAUUUUUCACUAACUACUUUGGAGACUAAACUUGCUUUAGAUCAGGCAAACACAGGACUCGGAAUGUGCCAAUUCUCAAUUUUAACUUGACGUACAAUUUAGCUCCCACUUACAUGGUCCUAUGAAACUUUUUUUUUAGAGCCUGUUCCAUUCAUUUUCACCAUAAAGAAACACUAUUCUAUCUAUUCCCCUUUGGAAUGAUUCAGAUCAAGUGGGGUUUCACAUGGAAUAGCUGAUACAGUUCUGACUGACUCCUCAUUAAUGUAUUUACAAGCCAAAAAUUACGGGAAAAACAUCAAGAUUGCUCAUGGUAUUCAUAGAUUGAGCUUGUGGAAGAGGUGAAAGAUUUCUGGCGUUUUUUUCUUUAUUCACGGGAUGAGGAC
Chiloscyllium plagiosum (whitespotted bambooshark) is the source of this 668-nucleotide non-coding RNA. NCBI's taxonomy places the organism in Eukaryota, Metazoa, Chordata, Chondrichthyes, Orectolobiformes, Hemiscylliidae. The record is from RefSeq and is a predicted model, not a curated record.